UAAAAGUCGUAACAAGGUUUCCGUAGGUGAACCUGCGGAAGGAUCAUUAGUGAAGCUUGCUAAUCUGACGGCAAGUUGUGAGCUGUCGAGAUGUGUGUUUAGUAUUGUGAAUGGAUUUUGAACAGACGAGGCUAGCCUCGCAAGUAUAUCGACAGGUAUUGUCGAUUGAUGGUGGACCAAUUAGCUGGUGGGUCGAUGAAGGACACAGCUAGCUGUGCGAAAGAAUGUGAAUUGCAGGACACAUGAGCAUCGACACUUUGAACGCAUAUUGCGGGUGAAUGGAUUCCAUUCACCCAGUCAUGGAUCAAGGCCGGUUAACAACUGGAAAGCUAGAAGGCUUCGUGUAUCUGACUGCUUGUCAGAGCGUUGCCGCUUAAUCGAGAAAAGCUGUCUGGUUCCCGUCGAGUUAAAGCCAUUCAGUCGUGAGAGAAGCACGGCAGGCAUGAAUGGUUGACGGGAGAUAAAAGCCUGAUAGCGUGGUGAGCAGGGAUCGAAACGGAAACGACCCCUAACCUGACACAUCCAUAUAACCGCGGCUUGAUCUCAUGACAGGCUACCCGCUGAAUUUAAGCAUAUCAAUA
Molecule: ribosomal RNA, 581 nt
Filed under: uncultured eukaryote
Lineage: Eukaryota
Description: eukaryotic LSU rRNA
Rfam family: 5.8S ribosomal RNA (bases 161-313)
Source: RNAcentral